AUUGAACGCUGGCGGCAUGCCUAACACAUGCAAGUCGAGCGGAUGAAGGGAGCUUGCUCCUGGAUUCAGCGGCGGACGGGUGAGUAAUGCCUAUGAAUCUGCCUGGUAGUGGGGGAUAACGUCCGGAAACGGGCGCUAAUACCGCAUACGUCCUGAGGGAGAAAGUGGGGGAUCUUCGGACCUCACGCUAUCAGAUGAGCCUAGGUCGGAUUAGCUAGUUGGUGGGGUAAAGGCCUACCAAGGCGACGAUCCGUAACUGGUCUGAGAGGAUGAUCAGUCACACUGGAACUGAGACACGGUCCAGACUCCUACGGGAGGCAGCAGUGGGGAAUAUUGGACAAUGGGCGAAAGCCUGAUCCAGCAAUGCCGCGUGUGUGAAGAAGGUCUUCGGAUUGUAAAGCACUUUAAGUUGGGAGGAAGGGCAGUAAGUUAAUACCUUGCUGUUUUGACGUUACCAAAAGAAUAAGCACCGGCUAACUUCGUG
Molecule: ribosomal RNA, 484 nt
Filed under: uncultured bacterium
Lineage: Bacteria
Description: partial 16S ribosomal RNA
Rfam family: Bacterial small subunit ribosomal RNA
Source: RNAcentral